UGCUUCCAGGAAAAGCCUCUAAGCAUCAGGUAACAUCAAAUCGUACCCCAAACCGACACAGGUGGUCAGGUAGAGAAUACCAAGGCGCUUGAGAGAACUCGGGUGAAGGAACUAGGCAAAAUGGUGCCGUAACUUCGGGAGAAGGCACGCUGAUAUGUAGGUGAAGUCCCUCGCGGAUGGAGCUGAAAUCAGUCGAAGAUACCAGCUGGCUGCAACUGUUUAUUAAAAACACAGCACUGUGCAAACACGAAAGUGGACGUAUACGGUGUGACGCCUGCCCGGUGCCGGAAGGUUAAUUGAUGGGGUUAGCGCAAGCGAAGCUCUUGAUCGAAGCCCCGGUAAACGGCGGCCGUAACUAUAACGGUCCUAAGGUAGCGAAAUUCCUUGUCGGGUAAGUUCCGACCUGCACGAAUGGCGUAAUGAUGGCCAGGCUGUCUCCACCCGAGACUCAGUGAAAUUGAACUCGCUGUGAAGAUGCAGUGUACCCGCGGCAAGACGGAAAGACCCCGUGAACCUUUACUAUAGCUUGACACUGAACAUUGAGCCUUGAUGUGUAGGAUAGGUGGGAGGCUUUGAAGUGUGGACGCCAGUCUGCAUGGAGCCGACCUUGAAAUACCACCCUUUAAUGUUUGAUGUUCUAACGUUGACCCGUAAUCCGGGUUGCGGACAGUGUCUGGUGGGUAGUUUGACUGGGGCGGUCUCCUCCUAAAGAGUAACGGAGGAGCACGAAGGUUGGCUAAUCCUGGUCGGACAUCAGGAGGUUAGUGCAAUGGCAUAAGCCAGCUUGACUGCGAGCGUGACGGCGCGAGCAGGUGCGAAAGCAGGUCAUAGUGAUCCGGUGGUUCUGAAUGGAAGGGCCAUCGCUCAACGGAUAAAAGGUACUCCGGGGAUAACAGGCUGAUACCGCCCAAGAGUUCAUAUCGACGGCGGUGUUUGGCACCUCGAUGUCGGCUCAUCACAUCCUGGGGCUGAAGUAGGUCCCAAGGGUAUGGCUGUUCGCCAUUUAAAGUGGUACGCGAGCUGGGUUUAGAACGUCGUGAGACAGUUCGGUCCCUAUCUGCCGUGGGCGCUGGAGAACUGAGGGGGGCUGCUCCUAGUACGAGAGGACCGGAGUGGACGCAUCACUGGUGUUCGGGUUGUCAUGCCAAUGGCACUGCCCGGUAGCUAAAUGCGGAAGAGAUAAGUGCUGAAAGCAUCUAAGCACGAAACUUGCCCCGAGAUGAGUUCUCCCUGACUCCUUGAGAGUCCUGAAGGAACGUUGAAGACGACGACGUUGAUAGGCCGGGUGUGUAAGCGCAGCGAUGCGUUGAGCUAACCGGUACUAAUGAACCGUGAGGCUUAACCUUACAACGCCGAAGCUGUU
Molecule: ribosomal RNA, 1363 nt
Filed under: Escherichia coli
Lineage: Bacteria; Pseudomonadati; Pseudomonadota; Gammaproteobacteria; Enterobacterales; Enterobacteriaceae
Description: partial 23S ribosomal RNA
Rfam family: Bacterial large subunit ribosomal RNA
Source: RNAcentral